Molecule: ribosomal RNA, 253 nt
Filed under: uncultured bacterium
Lineage: Bacteria
Description: partial 16S ribosomal RNA
Rfam family: Bacterial small subunit ribosomal RNA
Source: RNAcentral
UACAGAGGUCUCAAGCGUUGUUCGGAUUCAUUGGGCGUAAAGGGUGCGUAGGUGGCGCCGUAAGUCAGGUGUGAAAUUUCGGAGCUUAACCCCGAAACUGCAUUUGAUACUGCGGUGCUUGAGGACUGGAGAGGAGACUGGAAUUCACGGUGUAGCAGUGAAAUGCGUAGAUAUCGUGAGGAAGACCAGUGGCGAAGGCGGGUCUCUGGACAGUUCCUGACACUGAGGCACGAAGGCCAGGGGAGCAAACGGG